This 1526-nucleotide long non-coding RNA is filed under the name Phasianus colchicus (ring-necked pheasant). RNAcentral's name for it is "lncRNA (ENSPCLG00000008629.1)". Lineage: Eukaryota; Metazoa; Chordata; Aves; Galliformes; Phasianidae. The record is from RNAcentral.
GGGCUUGGAUGUGAGCUGACACACUGCUGCAUGAUUCCCAUGAUCCCAGCAUGGAAGUGUGCAAGAACUGCACUGACAGCGAUGAGCGGGUGAGGUGAACUUGAGCUCCUUUCCCAUCAUGAGAGAAGGGAAAAAUGAUCUUGUGCUCAGAUCUGGGGUUAAAAUGAAUUCACGACUGUCUCAGGAAACUGAAAACAGCCUUGCCUGGAGUGGUGAGCGACGUGCCUUGCUCUGCACAGGAUUUAGUGCUUCUCUUAGCACCAGUGAAAUCUGGCUGCAUGCACCUCGGGCAGAGCCAAGGCACAGUACUUGGCACCCGUGUUUGUCAGUGCUGUUACCCUGAGUCCUGCCUGGGGCUGGGCUGUAGAAAACAGAUGAUCCAUCAUCUCCUGCUUGUUUGUCCAGCUCUGCUGACUGCAGUGAAAUGCUUUUGUUUUGCCAGGGAAGCCGGAGUGUUUCAUGCACAGGCCAAUCCCACGACCCCUGAGGAUGUCGGCACUGAUGGGAAUGCAUUGCAGCCCUCCCCAGCUGCAGUCCCCACAGGAGCACUCCCUGUGCACCUCAGAGGGUACAGGUGUGACCAUGCCCAUGAGAACUGGACCAGCACAUGGAUCCAUAGGCUGUGAGUUGCCAUUGGGGACUGGAAGUACCACAACACAGAGAGAACAGAGCCAACGCUGUAAAUCCCAUCCUGGUGGUCUGUUGUCACACCUUGCCCCUGGGAUGAGGGUCUGUGAGAGGAUGCUGGAGUCCUGAUCCUCGCACAGCAGUAACUGCACUGCAGGGCGUGCUGAGCCCUGGGAACUUGGGCUGGAAGGGCUCUUUGGGACUCUGUGCAGAGACACUUGCAAGGUAAGGGCGCUUUGCAGAGGGCUCUGGAAGCAGUGGGUGGGUGUGCACUGACCUCAGGCACAGUAAGGCAGAAAGUUGGAGUUUCUAACAGGCAGUAUAGAGAAGCAGCUGUACGCGUUGGAGUCGGUCACAGCACCACUUAUUUGUCUGCAUCUCAGUGCUGAGGGUUAAUGGGGAUGAGGAUGUGUCAGCCCUAUGCCAGGUACCAGAUUUCAGCCUACAGCAGCACCAGCUUUGGCAGCUUUACCACAGAUUUUGUUACAGUUGUUUUUGAAAGCUCUGGUUCUCCAAAUCCUGUAAUUAUGUGCAAGUUUCAGCGUUCUUUAAAAUUGAAGGUAAAUUGUCAACUCUUUGAUUGUAUAGAAUAGCCUGAAAACAACCAAGAAGUUUUGAAAGAAAAAGAGGCAAGUUGAGGAAACCUGAAAUUACUUGUCUUUGAAUUCUAAAGAUUUGUAAGGCAAACUCAUGAUUUUGUGGCCCAGAACAGGCCUGGUAAAUGCUUGGUAUUGGCAAUACUGUGUUUAUUUUCCAUGCUUGGAUUUCUGCAUGGCUUUACACACUUUAUGAAAAAUACAGUAUUUUAUUUUAUUUUUAAAAGGAAGCAGAUAGCUCUGCUGGAUGAUCUCCAAACCAGACUGUAACAUACAAUAAAAAUUCUAUAGUGCACUGUAACA